UAAUCUUAGUGGCGGACGGGUGAGUAACGCGUGGGUAACCUGCCUUACACUGGGGGAUAACACUUAGAAAUAGGUGCUAAUACCGCAUAAGCGCACGAAGCCGCAUGGAUUUGUGUGAAAAACUCCGGUGGUGUAGGAUGGACCCGCGUCUGAUUAGCUUGUUGGCGGGGUAACGGCCCACCAAGGCGACGAUCAGUAGCCGGCCUGAGAGGGUGGACGGCCACAUUGGGACUGAGACACGGCCCAAACUCCUACGGGAGGCAGCAG
Molecule: ribosomal RNA, 267 nt
Filed under: uncultured bacterium
Lineage: Bacteria
Description: partial 16S ribosomal RNA
Rfam family: Bacterial small subunit ribosomal RNA
Source: RNAcentral